UGCUGAAAACGCCACCUCUAUUAUAACAAGUCCAAGUUCUGCAAUACCUAUAACAAACGUUUCUGUUGUAAUACCAGCAACCGCCACAACAUUAGCUCCAAAUGUUACAGCGAAACCAAAUUAUGAUGCGAAAAGAAGUGGAGGUUCGUCGACGGUUGUUGGUGUCGUGGUUACCCUGGUGAUCAUUGUUGUCAUAGUGAUUGUGAUAGUUGCAUACGUGUACCUCAAGCGAAAAAGAGGAGAAUCCGUGUGGCUCGUAGAUUACAUUUCCUCUAGUGGUAAGACGC
This is a long non-coding RNA of Actinia tenebrosa (Australian red waratah sea anemone), 287 nucleotides long. NCBI's taxonomy places the organism in Eukaryota, Metazoa, Cnidaria, Anthozoa, Actiniaria, Actiniidae. The record is from RefSeq and is a predicted model, not a curated record.